AGAGUUUGAUCCUGGCUCAGAACGAACGCUGGCGGCGUGGAUUAGGCAUGCAAGUCGAGCGGGAUCCUUGAGGAUCAAUUCUUCGGAAGAGAUUCUCUUGGUGAGAGCGGCGAACGGGUGAGUAACGCGUGGGCAACCUGCCCUCAAGUUGGGGAUAGCCCUUCGAAAGGAGGGGUAAUACCGAAUGUGGUCGUCCCGGGGCAUCUCGGGACUAUCUAAAGGUGGGGAUCCUUCGGGACCUGCCGCUUGGGGAUGGGCUCGCGUACUAUCAGCUUGUUGGUGAGGUAACGGCUCACCAAGGCUUAGACGGUUAGCUGGUCUGAGAGGAUGGUCAGCCACACUGGGACUGAGACACUGCCCAGACUCCUACGGGAGGCUGCAGUCGAGAAUCAUUCGCAAUGCGCGCAAGCGUGACGAUGCGACGCCGCGUGGAGGAUGAAGGCCUUCGGGUUGUAAACUCCUGUCAGGAGGGAACAAUCUCCCGGCUCCGAAUAGGAGUCGGGAUUGAUAGUACCUCCAAAGGAAGCCACGGCUAACUCUGUGCCAGCAGCCGCGGUAAUACAGAGGUGGCGAGCGUUGUUCGGAUUUACUGGGCGUAAAGGGUGCGUAGGCGGCCUUUGUGUCGGGUGUGAAAUCUCACGGCUCAACUGUGAAACGGCAUCCGAAACUGCAGGGCUAGAGUACAGGAGAGGAGAGCGGAAUUCUCGGUGUAGCGGUGAAAUGCGUAGAUAUCGAGAAGAACGCCGGUGGCGAAGGCGGCUCUCUGGAAUGAUACUGACGCUGAGGCACGAAAGCUGGGGGAGCAAACAGGAUUAGAUACCCUGGUAGUCCCAGCCGUAAACGGUGUGCACUUGGUGUGGGGGGUCUUGUCCCCCUCCGCGCCGGAGCUAACGCGUUAAGUGCACCGCCUGGGGAGUACGGCCGCAAGGCUAAAACUCAAAGGAAUUGACGGGGGCCCGCACAAGCGGUGGAGCAUGUGGCUUAAUUCGAUGCAACGCGAAGAACCUUACCAGGGCUUGACAUGCCCGUCGUAUCCCCUCGAAAGGGGGGAGUCAGUUCGGCUGGACGGGACACAGGUGCUGCAUGGCUGUCGUCAGCUCGUGGCGUGAGGUGUUGGGUUAAGUCCCGCAACGAGCGCAACCCCUAUGGUUAGUUGCCAGCGGCGGCGAAAGCCGGCCGGGCACUCUAAUCAGACUGCCUGUGAUAAGCAGGAGGAAGGUGGGGAUGACGUCAAGUCAGUAUGGUCCUUAUGCCCUGGGCUGCACACGUGCUACAAUGGGGGGUACAAAGGGAUGCAAGACCGCGAGGUGGAGCAAAUCCCCAAAGCCGUCCACAGUUCGGAUCGGAGUCUGCAACUCGACUCCGUGAGGCCGGAAUCGCUAGUAAAGGCGUAUCAGCUACGACGCCUUGAAUACGUUCCCGGGCCUUGUACACACCGCCCGUCACAUCAUGGGAGUCGACUGCACCCGAAGUCGCUGAGCUAACCUUCUUUUAGAGGGACGCAGGUGCCGAAGGUGUGGUUGAUGACUGGGAUGAAGUCGAAACAAGGUA
Molecule: ribosomal RNA, 1551 nt
Filed under: metagenome
Description: bacterial SSU rRNA
Rfam family: Bacterial small subunit ribosomal RNA
Source: RNAcentral